CAUCGACUGUUCUUCCUCUCAUCUACACAGCAUCCGAUUAUCCUUACAGCCAGUGGUGAAUCCUCCGUCUUAUAAGGCUCAGCACCAUCAUAACCCAGCCCACACCUCGUGGCAGAGGAAUCCUCACUGAGCCACCAGCCUCUAACCUCUCCAUGCCAUCGUAUGACAUCAUAUGACACCUGUGUCAAGCCUCAGAAACUCUUUCAAGGAGCCCUGGCUAGGCAGUUAAGAAGCAUAUUUGACCCAGGGAUCGAAUUCCCACCCUCUGCGCAUCUUCUGCAUUGCAAGUGGAUUCUUCCCACCAGGGAAGUCCAUUGAGUCUCCACAGCUGCUGCUGCUGCUAAGUCGAUUCAGUCGUGUCCGACUCUGUGCGACCCCAAAGAUGGCAGCCCACCAGGCUCCCCCAUCCCUGGGAUUCUCCAGGUAAGAACACUGGAGUGGGUUGCCAUUGCCUUCUCCAAUGCAUGAAAGUGAAAAGUGAAAGUGAAGUCGCUCAGUCAUGUCCGACUCAACGACCCCGUGGACUGCAGCCUACCAGGCUCCUCCACCCAGGGGAUUUUUCAGGCAAGAGGACUGGAGUGGGG
RNAcentral lists this long non-coding RNA (584 nucleotides) under Bos indicus x Bos taurus (hybrid cattle). RNAcentral describes it as "lncRNA (ENSBIXG00000008145.1)". Lineage: Eukaryota; Metazoa; Chordata; Mammalia; Artiodactyla; Bovidae. The record is from RNAcentral.